CCUACGGGAGGCAGCAGUGAGGAAUAUUGGUCAAUGGGCGGGAGCCUGAACCAGCCAAGUCGCGUGAGGGAAGACGGUCCUAUGGAUUGUAAACCUCUUUAGGCGGGGAGCAAUGCCGGGCCCGUGUGCCCGGAGGGAGAGUACCCGCAGAAUAAGCAUCGGCUAACCCCGUGCCAGCAGCCGCGGUAAUACGGAGGAUGCGAGCGUUAUCCGGUUUUAUGGGGUUAAAAGGGUGCGUAGGCGGAUGUUUAAGUCACCGGUAAAAGGUCCGGGCCCAACCCGGGGCGGGCGUUGGAACUGGGGAUUUUGAGUGCGCGGAAAGUAUGCGGAAUGCGGGGUGUAGCGGUGAAAUGCAUAGAUAUCACGCAGAAAUCCGAUUGCGAAGGCAGCAUACCGGCGCCCGACUGACGCUGAGGCACGAAAGCGUGGGGAUCGAACAGGAUUAGAUACCCCAGUAGUC
This 460-nucleotide ribosomal RNA is filed under the name uncultured bacterium. RNAcentral describes it as "partial 16S ribosomal RNA". It matches the Rfam family "Bacterial small subunit ribosomal RNA", at positions 338 to 795 of the family's 1533-position model. The record is from RNAcentral.